Arachis ipaensis is the source of this 1030-nucleotide non-coding RNA. Lineage: Eukaryota; Viridiplantae; Streptophyta; Magnoliopsida; Fabales; Fabaceae. The record is from RefSeq and is a predicted model, not a curated record.
AUUCAGUAUGAUUUUAUAAAUCAUAAAUGAAUUUAAAAUUUUCAGUUCACCUGUCCUUAGUAAACUUGACAGUUGACACUGAAGAUUGGCUGCUUGAUGGACCCUUGCAGUUGAACUAUCUAAGGACUCAAUGUGGUAACAUCUUCAAACUGGAAUACGUAUCGAGCGUCGGGAUCUAGCUUAACUCUUACGUGUAGCUCGGCAACUGGCCAUCCGUUCUCUGGUUUUCUCUUCCCAAUACCUAUCCACCCACUAAAAAGAGUCAGUGGCUUUCCUUCGCGCCACUCAGGGCCUACCUGUAUUUUAAAAAUCCCAAUUUGCUGCCUUUUGAUGCCAACUCCACAAUGGGAGCCCUUCCUACCUGAGAAAAUAACAAUCUCCAAACCAGCAUGAGUAUUAUAGAAACAACAGGGAGCCAACAAUGCUUUUAGAUCAGAUUCCUCAAGGUAAAAGCUAGUAGCAACAUUCUCGACUUCAAGUAUAGCUUCGGUAGAGGAUAUCAAGGGGACUAAUUAUGUUUGAACAGGAAAACCCCGGAGCCGUAUCUCACAAACAAAAGGAGAAGGUGGCUUUUGAGUUCUAGAUCUUCCGCUGCUUCCCUCAAUUCCGGCACAUCGUAGCCCAAGAGAGCCUAUUGAUAACCUAAUGAAGGCCUGAGGAUCCAUAUUUGUCACAAUCUUCCCCCCAUUGGAUACAAACAACUACUUUCUAAGAGCUCAAUGUCUGCGAAAUAUAAAGCAGAGAAUUUGGCUUUAAACAAUUUCCAUUAGACAUGACUAUAAGUUUGAGACAUAACAGAAAGUAAAAAUUUGAUUAAUUUACAAAACUAAUUUGGCUAACAUUUACUCAUGUUACACAAAGAAAACAAACUUUACUUAGAUCUUGAGAUUCUAUUAUACAAUCAAAUUCUUGAUGACUUGGUCACGAAGGUUUAUGCGUUACGAAGGUGAAUAGUAGUUGAAGGUUAUAAGCUAUUAGAACUAAAGGAGGAAAAAGGAAAAAGACAGAUAAACAAGAGCUUUCGGUAACA